UACAGAGGGUGCUAGCGUUGUUCGGAAUCAUUGGGCGUAAAGGGCGUGUAGGCGGUUUGUUAAGUCAUGUGUGAAAUCCCUCGGCUCAACCGGGGAACGACGCAUGAAACUGGCAAGCUAGAGUACCAAAGAGGGGGGUGGAAUUCCAGGUGUAGCGGUGAAAUGCGUAGAGAUCUGGAGGAACACCGGUGGCGAAGGCGGCCCCCUGGUUCGAUACUGACGCUGAGGUGCGAAAGCGUGGGGAGCAAACAGG
RNAcentral lists this ribosomal RNA (253 nucleotides) under uncultured bacterium. RNAcentral describes it as "partial 16S ribosomal RNA". It matches the Rfam family "Bacterial small subunit ribosomal RNA", at positions 524 to 776 of the family's 1533-position model. The record is from RNAcentral.